CUACCAAGACAGUGACGGUUGACGGGGAAUCAGGGUUUGAUACCGGAGAGGGAGCCUGAGAGAUAGCUCCCACGUCCAUGGACGGCAGCAGGCGCGAAAAUUGCCCACUCUUUGUAGGAGGCAGUUAUGAGACGUGAGAUUGAAUAUUUUGUAAAGAGGAAUAGGAGAAUUGGAGGGCAAGUUUGGUGCCAGCCGCCGCGGUAAUACCGACUCCAAGAGUGUGUAUGAGAGAUGCUGCAGUUAAAAAGUCCGUAGUCGUAGAAAUGAAAAUAGGGAUGUGAAGUCUCUGUAGUUAGUUUUAGAAAAACCGAUGGGGAACAUAGUAUACCAGGGCGAGAGAUGAAAUGCCAAGACCCCUGGUGGACUAAGCGAGGCGAAAGCGAUGUUCUUGUAGGUAUUUGAUGAUCAAGGACGAAGGCUGGAGUAUCGAAAGUGAUUAGAUACCGCAGUAGUUCCAGCAGUAAAAGAUGCC
RNAcentral lists this ribosomal RNA (472 nucleotides) under Microsporidia sp. Its description in RNAcentral is "bacterial SSU rRNA". It matches the Rfam family "Microsporidia small subunit ribosomal RNA", at positions 200 to 696 of the family's 1311-position model. The record is from RNAcentral. Lineage: Eukaryota; Fungi; Microsporidia.